AGUUAAUCUAUUGGAGCUGAAUUACAUUGCCUUUUAUUUUCUUAAGUGUAAAAAGUACUUUACAUAUUAAAUUUAGAGUAAACAUCCUGUCUGAUGUUGCGUAUGAACAGAUCUGUUUCCUUGAUCCUGUUUCAUUCUGACCCUCUGCUAAGCAUCUGAUCCAUGCAAUCUGCAUUCAACUAUGGAACCAAAGACAGCAGCACUGUCCAGCCCCUGUCCUUGUCAUCAACGUUUGCCAGAGGAAUUGAAUGAACUAAAUACAGAGUUUUGUGAUGAAAGUGUAACAUACUCCGAACUCAAACUUCGUGAUUCUUCAAAUAUUCAGAAGAGAAAACUAACUAGGAUUUGGAAAGCAAAAGAGUCUCCAUGGUGCAUUGCUACAGUGAUAUUUGCCUUGCUUUAUUUAAUUGCUCUUGCACUAGCUGCAUUUAUGAUAGCUAAGGGUAAGUAUUUUUCAGGUUUUCAUUAACUUGUUAAAAGUUACUAGAAUAGAAUUUUGAAGCAUUUGAAAUUAAUUCUAAGGCUUUACUAAAGUUAUUUUCCUCAUUUGUUAUUUUAGUUGCAUAAAAGUAAUUUUACCAAUUCAGUUUUUGAAUUAUCAACAAUAGCUUUGUCCCAGGUGAGCUUAUCAAAGAUGUUGGUGGAUAGCUGUGUAUUUUGAAAAAAAAUGAAAAAUAAUAGCAAUGUUCUUUAUGUUAUUGUAUUUUUACUGACAUUAGACUUAGCAACUGUGAGAUGUAAGAAAACUUGGAGAUAUUUAUAGAAUUUAUUAUUUGGGCAGUUAAAAACUAACUGUAAGGACAUCAAGUCAGGAAUUUGAAAGAAAUAAUCUAAUAGAAGAAAUAAAAUGAUAAUGGGCAGAGAUUCA
Long non-coding RNA from Bos indicus x Bos taurus (hybrid cattle), 868 nucleotides. The record is from Ensembl. NCBI's taxonomy places the organism in Eukaryota, Metazoa, Chordata, Mammalia, Artiodactyla, Bovidae.